CCUACGGGUGGCAGCAGUGGGGAAUAUUGGACAAUGGGCGAAAGCCUGAUCCAGCCAUGCCGCGUGUGUGAAGAAGGCCUUCGGGUUGUAAAGCACUUUCAGUGGGGAAGAAAGCCUUGGGGCUAAUACCCUCGAGGAAGGACAUCACCCACAGAAGAAGCACCGGCUAACUCCGUGCCAGCAGCCGCGGUAAUACGGAGGGUGCGAGCGGUAAUCGGAAUUACUGGGCGUAAAGUGCGCGUAGGCGGUCUGAUAAGCCGGUUGUGAAAGCCCCGGGCUCAACCUGGGAACGGCAUCCGGAACUGUCAGGCUAGAGUGCAGGAGAGGAAGGUAGAAUUCCCGGUGUAGCGGUGAAAUGCGUAGAGAUCGGGAGGAAUACCAGUGGCGAAGGCGGCCUUCUGGACUGACACUGACGCUGAGGUGCGAAAGCGUGGGUAGCAAACAGGAUUAGAUACCCGGUAGUC
Molecule: ribosomal RNA, 464 nt
Filed under: Vreelandella stevensii
Lineage: Bacteria; Pseudomonadati; Pseudomonadota; Gammaproteobacteria; Oceanospirillales; Halomonadaceae
Description: partial 16S ribosomal RNA
Rfam family: Bacterial small subunit ribosomal RNA
Source: RNAcentral